Molecule: ribosomal RNA, 1025 nt
Filed under: Calcarisporium sp. LB2012-2
Lineage: Eukaryota; Fungi; Ascomycota; Sordariomycetes; Hypocreales; Calcarisporiaceae
Description: SSU rRNA
Rfam family: Eukaryotic small subunit ribosomal RNA
Source: RNAcentral
AGCAUUAUACAGCGAAACUGCGAAUGGCUCAUUAUAUAAGUUAUCGUUUAUUUGAUAGUACCUUACUACUUGGAUAACCGUGGUAAUUCUAGAGCUAAUACAUGCUAAAAAUCCCGACUUCGGAAGGGAUGUAUUUAUUAGAUUAAAAACCAAUGCCCUCUGGGCUCUCUGGUGAUUCAUGAUAACUUCGCGAAUCGCAUGGCCUUGCGCCGGCGAUGGCUCAUUCAAAUUUCUUCCCUAUCAACUUUCGAUGUUUGGGUAUUGGCCAAACAUGGUUGCAACGGGUAACGGAGGGUUAGGGCUCGACCCCGGAGAAGGAGCCUGAGAAACGGCUACUACAUCCAAGGAAGGCAGCAGGCGCGCAAAUUACCCAAUCCCGACACGGGGAGGUAGUGACAAUAAAUACUGAUACAGGGCUCUUUUGGGUCUUGUAAUUGGAAUGAGUACAAUUUAAAUCCCUUAACGAGGAACAAUUGGAGGGCAAGUCUGGUGCCAGCAGCCGCGGUAAUUCCAGCUCCAAUAGCGUAUAUUAAAGUUGUUGUGGUUAAAAAGCUCGUAGUUGAACCUUGGGCCUGGCUGGCCGGUCCGCCUCACCGCGUGUACUGGUCCGGCCGGGCCUUUCCCUCUGUGGAACCUCAUGCCCUUCACUGGGUGUGGCGGGGAAACAGGACUUUUACUUUGAAAAAAUUAGAGUGCUCAAGGCAGGCCUAUGCUCGAAUACAUUAGCAUGGAAUAAUAGAAUAGGACGUGUGGUUCUAUUUUGUUGGUUUCUAGGACCGCCGUAAUGAUUAAUAGGGACAGUCGGGGGCAUCAGUAUUCAAUUGUCAGAGGUGAAAUUCUUGGAUUUAUUGAAGACUAACUACUGCGAAAGCAUUUGCCAAGGAUGUUUUCAUUAAUCAGGAACGAAAGUUAGGGGAUCGAAGACGAUCAGAUACCGUCGUAGUCUUAACCAUAAACUAUGCCGACUAGGGAUCGGACGAUGUUAUUUUUUGACUCGUUCGGCACCUUACGAGAAAUCAAAGUGC